UGUCUGAAUAAAAUAGAUUAGGAAGAACAUUUUUUUAUGUACAUGUACAAAAAAUAAAGAUCCUCUUGGUCUUCUUUAGGGAAUGGUCAUUAUUUAUCAGCUGAGGGGGUCGGUUCAAAUUUUUCACAUAAAUGUUUUUGUUGGCAACCCCCCCAUCAUUCUUAAAAACCAUAUAAUGACCCCCUCCUAAGAACAGAGUUUGAAAAGUUUG
Molecule: long non-coding RNA, 211 nt
Filed under: Mytilus galloprovincialis (Mediterranean mussel)
Lineage: Eukaryota; Metazoa; Mollusca; Bivalvia; Mytilida; Mytilidae
Source: RNAcentral